UCGCCUGUUUAUCAAAAACAUAGCCUUUAGCCAUAAAAGUAUUAAAGGUACAACCUGCCCAGUGAAAUAUUUAAACGGCCGCGGUAUCCUAACCGUGCAAAGGUAGCGUAAUCACUUGUCCUCUAAAUAGGGACUAGUAUGAAUGGUUAAAUGAGGAUAAACCUGUCUCUUGUGGAAAAUCAGUGAAACUGAACUCCCAGUACAAAUGCUGGGAUUUACACACAAGACGAGAAGACCCUGCGGAGCUUUUAAACUACCCUCAAACAAUAAAUUGAGAACGAGUUUUUAGUUGGGGCGACUUCGGAACAAAACUAAGCUUCCGAGCACAAAGAGACCACCUCUUGCAGCGGCUAACAAGCCAAAGCACCACAAACCAUUGACCCGGAUUUAUCCGAUUAACGAACCAAGUUACCCCAGGGAUAACAGCGCUAUCUUCUUUAAGAGUCCAUAUCAACAAGUAAGGCUUACGACCUCGAUGUUGGAUCAGGACACCCAAAUGGUGCAGCCGCUAUUAAUGGUUCGUUUGUUCAACGAUUAACAGUCCUACGUGAUCUGAGUUCAGACCGGA
RNAcentral lists this ribosomal RNA (568 nucleotides) under Cordylus machadoi. RNAcentral describes it as "partial 16S ribosomal RNA". It matches the Rfam family "Bacterial large subunit ribosomal RNA", at positions 1796 to 2620 of the family's 2925-position model. Lineage: Eukaryota; Metazoa; Chordata; Lepidosauria; Squamata; Cordylidae. The record is from RNAcentral.